Molecule: long non-coding RNA, 1029 nt
Organism: Mercenaria mercenaria
Lineage: Eukaryota; Metazoa; Mollusca; Bivalvia; Venerida; Veneridae
Exons: 3
Source: RefSeq, a predicted model, not a curated record
UUUUGUAUGGAAAGAUUUUAUCGUAUUUCUGGUAUUCUAGGAUGGUUAGAUACUGCAGCCACGAGAAUCAUUGAAACUUACGUUGCCAACGUUACAGAUAGUGGACCCAGCAUAAAGACGUAUUACAUCACAGCGUUAUAUUUUACGUUUACGUCACUGAUGUCAACAGGAUUCGGAAACGUGUCACCAAAUACCAAUGGAAUUGACAUGGCGGUUUGUUUGUACAGACUUUCUAUGAAUCAAGUAGUGUACCGGUGAUGACAUUCGGGGAUUUCCGUGAGAUUACGUAAUUCUCCGUGUGUGAUAUCGGAAUCCUUCUGUCAUGAUAGGUAAAGAUGAUAUAUUUGGUGGUGACUGCAGUGACGUGGAAUGCUCGGGAAAAUCGUUCUAUUUUGUACGUGCCCUUAGUUACUGUGAUAUUGACAAGAUAGAGUUACACGUGCUGAAAGAAACAAUGGAUAUAUAACCAGAAUUUUCAAAAAGAAUUAAUGGGUAAAAUACAAGUGACAUUCAAUCUUAAGGUAAGUAUAAAGUAAUAUAAUCCAUCCUAGCAAUGAACAAGUCUCAAUUUCAAAAUUGUUCCGAACUUUAAGAAAAAGUUUUACAAUCUUUGUUUUACAUUCUAAAAUAAAUACGGUAUCACAGAUGUAACAAACGCACCAAUACUAUCAUCUUUACCUCUAUCAUAGAUAUUUUGUUUAAAAGAUAUUUUUGGAACUGCUUUGAUAUAUUGCACUUUACCUUUUCUAGACAAUUUCUGACAACUUUUUCACACGAUAAGGUCAUUGACGUAUAAAGGUGAGGCUAUGCCGAAUGAACAUAUACUCGCGUUUUAGUUGAUUAAGAGACAACGAGUGCUUCGCCUAAUUACAUUAGCAUUUUCGACUUGAUUUAUUAAAAACCAUAAGAUACUUUUCAUUCAUUCAAGAUGCUAAAUUGUGAUCUCUUUUGACAAAAGCUCGACGAAUGGGACCACAGAUCGGAGAAGAUGAGCCGACGUCUAGAGCAUUCGAAUUUUCUCCGCUAUCA